Pelobates cultripes (western spadefoot toad) is the source of this 208-nucleotide non-coding RNA. NCBI's taxonomy places the organism in Eukaryota, Metazoa, Chordata, Amphibia, Anura, Pelobatidae. The record is from the annotation of a GenBank genome assembly.
GAAAGAAGGAGCAGAGUACUUGUAAAAAAGGAGAAAGAAGGAAUAGUGUAUUUGUAGGAUAGGAGAAUGAAGGAGCGGAGUAUUUGUAAGAAAUCAGAAAGAAGGAGCAGAGUAUUUGUAGAAUAGGAGAAAGAAGGAGCAGAGUAUUUGUAGAAUAGGAGAAAGAAGGAGCAGAGUAUUUGUAGAAUAGGAGAAAGAAGGAGCAGAG